RNA transcript from Mus musculus (house mouse), 1748 nucleotides. It is a transcript of the gene named RIKEN cDNA 2610024D14 gene, with no coding region annotated. The transcript has a single exon. The record is from RefSeq and is marked validated. NCBI's taxonomy places the organism in Eukaryota, Metazoa, Chordata, Mammalia, Rodentia, Muridae.
AGAUAUGAAUUUAGAGAGCAGUUCAGUACUAUAUCAUUUUAGCAGAACAGUAGUUGUGGUUUCUGGACCCUAUGACCUCUCAAUCAUAGGUUGAAAUAAGUGAAUCUUAUCCAAAUGUUUAAACACUCCGAAGAAAUUAACCAUUAGAGAGUUUUAGGAAAUUUAUCCAACAACAGUGUAUAUGUAGAUAUUGUUAAUUUUGAAAACUCAAUGCUACUUUGUACUGUAGUUAAUAUUUCCAAACAGAGAAAUGAAACUUAUUUAGAUGCUUUAAUGAAAGUUACAUUUUUCGGGGCUGGAGAGAUGGCUCAGCAGUUAAGAGCACUGACUGCUCCUCCAAAGGUCCUGAGUUCAAAUCCCAGGAACCACAUGGUGGCUCACAACCUUAUAUAAUGAGAUCUGAUGCCUUCUGUGUGUCUGAAGAUACCUACAGUGUACUUAUAAUAAAUAAAUAAAUACAUAAAUAAAUUUUAAAAUUACAUUUUUCUACUUAUGUCCAAUAAGGGGGAAAUACUGUCUUUUCAUUCAUAUUUUUAGAAUUUAAUGGCAGUAAUCAGAAUUUAUGAACUUUAAUUUUAUGAUAAAUUAUGUAUUAGCCGUUAAAACUAUACAUGCACAUCUGUACUAAGAAUACUUUAUGGAUUCAGGAAGACAAACUUUAGACCAUGGCUACGUUCCUUCAUAACUUUGAGAAGGGCUCAGUGCUGAUGAACGCUGCCCUGACUUGAAGCCUCAAUUAGCCAUAUUUUGGCACUAUGCUAAGGUUGAGCUGGUUUUCCCCAACUUCCAGAUAUUCAAAGAGUAAAACAUAUAGUUCAAAGUGCUGAAACUGGUACCUUCAAACAGCUUACAGUCAAGGAAGCUGUGCUGAGUGGUUUGGUGGCCACUGAGGUGUGGAUGUGAUUUUAUAUCAGAGACAUCAUAGGCAAAUGUGGCAUUAUUGGCAUUAUGAUGUUUAAAGAUAAAUCUUUAACAUCUGAUUUUAUUUGAGUUCUUAUUUGAAUGUUCUUGGACUAUGUAUAAUGAGACUGCUAUCUGAAUAAAGUACUAGCCUUUUUGUUCAUUGUUGGCUGGUUGAUUGGUUUGCUUGAAACAGGGUCUCUCUAUAUAGUCCUGGAACUUACUAUAUAAAACACACUGGCCUCGAAGUCAGAGGUCUGCCUGCUUCUGCCUCUGGAAUACUGGAAUUAAAGGCAUGUACCACCGUGCCCAGCUGUAUUAAGAAUACAUUAGUAAAGCUCUGUCUUAAAAUGUCUUCUAUAAAUUGUUAGGGGUGUGUAUGUGUGUAUGAAUACUCAGGCUCAGUCCUUAUGUACUAUCAGGAUGUAGGAACUAAACUGUAUUAAUGUAUUUUAAACACUAUUUUGCUAGUAUGAAAUGUAGAACAGCCUAUGUUUAAUUCUUGGGCUUUUUGUUAAUUCUGAAAGUCUUAAAAGCUGCCUUUGAUUUACCUGUAAAAUUUGACAGUUUAAAAAAAGUCUUAUAACAAAUGUGUUUAGAAAUGCCUUUUUUUAAAAAGAAGAAAAUUUUUUUUGUCUUUUGAUUUGGCAAGAGUAUUCAAUUUUCAUUCUCAUUUUUUUUUGUGAAAUAAAUAAUAUACUGAAGAAGUAGAAUUGCUAGAGAGCAAAAGAGGACAAGAAAGCAAAAAGGAAUGGUUAUUACAAGACAACUGCCAGGAAAAGCUUUUGAACAUGGAUACUGUCUUAAGUAUAAGGUAUAAAUUUAAUGUAUAAAUUUAUAGACUAAGU